Molecule: transfer RNA, 82 nt
Filed under: Dreissena polymorpha
Lineage: Eukaryota; Metazoa; Mollusca; Bivalvia; Myida; Dreissenidae
Description: transfer RNA serine (anticodon CGA)
Rfam family: tRNA
About the family: Transfer RNA (tRNA) molecules are approximately 80 nucleotides in length. Their secondary structure includes four short double-helical elements and three loops (D, anti-codon, and T loops).
Source: Rfam by way of RNAcentral
GUUAUCGUGGUCGAGUGGUUAAGACGAUAGACUCGAAAUCUUGUGGGAUCUUCCCGCGCAGGUUCGAAUCCUGUCGACAACG